Molecule: ribosomal RNA, 253 nt
Filed under: uncultured bacterium
Lineage: Bacteria
Description: partial 16S ribosomal RNA
Rfam family: Bacterial small subunit ribosomal RNA
Source: RNAcentral
UACAGAGGCCCCGAGCGUUAGUCGGAAUCACUGGGCUUAAAGGGUGCGUAGGCGGACUUGUAAGUGCUUUGUGAAAGCCCUGGGCUCAACCCAGGAACCGCAGAGCAUACUGCAAGUCUUGAGGAAGCUAGAGGCGGGUAGAACGAUCGGUGGAGCGGUGGAAUGCGUAGAGAUCGAUCGGAAUGCCAAGGGUGAAGACAACCCGCUGGGGCUUUCCUGACGCUGAGGCACGAAAGCGUGGGGAUCAAACAGG